This 257-nucleotide unclassified non-coding RNA is filed under the name uncultured Russula. Its description in RNAcentral is "sequence contains ITS2". Lineage: Eukaryota; Fungi; Basidiomycota; Agaricomycetes; Russulales; Russulaceae. The record is from RNAcentral.
AAUCUUCAAAAUCCUUUUUUCUUCUUAAAGGGUUUUGGACUUGGAGGUUUAAUGCUCGCCCUUUCUUUUGAAAGUGAGCUCCUCUCAAAAGAAUUAGUGGGGUCCGCUUUGCUGAUCCUUGACGUGAUAAAAUGUUUCUACGUUUUGGGUUUAGCUCUGUCCCUUGGACGCCUGCUCCUAACCGUCUCACUGACAAUGAUGGUGCUCUGGUCACCGACCGUCUACAUCGGCGGGAGGCUGGACCCACGAAAAGAAAA